RNAcentral lists this ribosomal RNA (1905 nucleotides) under Clostridioides difficile DA00216. RNAcentral describes it as "partial 16S ribosomal RNA". The record is from RNAcentral. Lineage: Bacteria; Bacillati; Bacillota; Clostridia; Peptostreptococcales; Peptostreptococcaceae.
CCAAUGGGAAUCAAAGUCACUCGGAUAGCUCAUGGUCUUCCUGUUGGAGGCGAUUUAGAGUAUGCAGAUGAGGUCACAAUAUCAAAAGCACUAGAAGGCAGAAGAGAAAUAUAAAAAUCGAGGUUAAUACCUCGAUUUUUGUAGUUUUUUGAGUUAAAUUCAAAUUAAUUUUGAUUUAGAUUUAUUGAAUAAAUUUCUUCUGUAUUGUAUAAUUUGUUGUAUAAAUCAUUUAAAAAUUUUGAUAGGGGUGCAACAUGAAACCAAUUAUGAACUUAGAAGAACAUAAUGCAAUGAAAGAAAAAAGAGUUAAAAAAAUGAAAUCAAAAGAUAAACCUAAAUAUGAUGAUUUUGAGGAUAUAAGUUUUUCUAAUAAGAAAAAAACUAAAAAAAAUGUACGAAAUAAAAAUGCUGAAUUUAGAAAUAAUUAUAAAAAUUAUCAGUAUGAUUAUGAAGAAGACUUUUAUGAGCCAAUUUAAUAUUAAAUAAUUAGAAAAUAAAAAAUCCCUAAUAGAUAAUAUAUAUACUAUAGGGAUUUUAUUUAUUUUAUCAACCAGAAAUUAUAUUUAAAAUUAAAUUAGCUAUAUUUUGGGCUGAAUUUGACUUUCUUAUUGAUUUAAUAUUUCUUUUUAGCAUUUCUAAUCUGCUAGGGUCAUCUAUUAAAACUUUUAGUAAUAUUGACAAGUUAUAUUUUUUUGUAGUUCUAAGUGCUGCACCACAAUUAGAUAAGAAAUCAAGAUUCUCUUCUUCCUGACCUGGUAUAUAAUAAGGAACUAUCAUAGGUACAUCUUUUAAAAGAGCCUCAGUUGUAGUAAGUCCACCAGGUUUGCUUACUAAUACAUCUAUAGAAGCUAAAAUAUCAUUCAUCUUAUCAGUGUAUCCAAGGACACAUACAUUUUUAUCAUGAUAACGAGACAUAAGUUUUUUUUCGAUUUUUUCUUUUAGGCUUUCAUUCUUACCAGUAAUUACAAGUAUUUGAAAGUCUCUAUCAGUAUCCAGUAAUUCAUCAAGUGUCUCUUUUAUAUUUCCAGCCCCAAAGCUACCCCCCAUAAGUAAAACAGUUAAUUUAUCAGGAGAUAAAUUCAACUCAGAAAGAACAAUAUCUUUAUCUCUGUGAGAGAGAAAAGAUUUUUCAACAGGGAUUCCAAAUGUUCUAAUUUUACUCGGUUCAACUCCAUCAAACACCAAUAAUUCUUUUACAUAUUCAUGACCAACAAUAUAGUAAUCAAUUUCAUUUUGUAUCCAUGUAGAAUGAGUAGUAUAAUCGGUUAAUACAGAAAUAAGCGGAGGAACAUUAAUGGUAUUUGUAUAAUGUUUAUAAAAAUGCUCUGUGUAAGCAUUUGAUUCAUUAUUAUGUAAAUUAAAGUUUUUUUUCAAUGUACUUAGAGCAAUCAUUGGAAAAGGAUGCGUUCCUAUAAUCAAGUCUGGUUUUUCGCUUCUAAUAAGCUUUUUAAAUUUUUUAGCCAUGAAUGUUAUUAGUAGAUUAUCUUUAAAUUCAUUUUUUGACAAAAGAUUUGUUUCAGAUAAUCUAUAUACACUUCCAUAGGCUUUGGGAGUAUAUAUAGCAGAUUUUUCGUAUCCUCUUGAAAUUAUUUUAUCCAUUGUAUUAUUAACUAAUUUCAAACUAUCUAUUAUUUCACAUUCAAUUGGCUCUCCAUCAAGUGUUUUGGAAGUAAGUUCUUCUUUAAUAGCUAGAGCAGCCCUAUUAUGCCCACCACCAGUGGAAGCAGACAUUAUUAAUACUUUUUUGCUCAUAAUAAAAUCCUCCUAAAAUGUAGCAUAGUAUUUAUAUUAUAUUUUGAUAUAUAAAAACUGUCUUUGUGAAUAAGGUUAUUGAUAAAUUAUUUUUAAUAUUAAUCUAAUACAAGAUUGCAAAAAUUACAAGUGAAAGAAAUGUAAAUUAAUUUU